This 1719-nucleotide long non-coding RNA is filed under the name Felis catus (domestic cat). RNAcentral's name for it is "lncRNA (ENSFCAG00000052205.1)". Lineage: Eukaryota; Metazoa; Chordata; Mammalia; Carnivora; Felidae. The record is from RNAcentral.
GUAAUUCAGACCUUGGAGCCACAAACACCCACGUAGUCGGGAAUCUCCAGGCCAGGCUGGGGAUUGAUUGCUGGCCCGCACCAUGGCGAGGUCAGUUGUUCCACGACUGAGCCGGUCCCCUGGAUGUCACCAUUGCCGUGGCCUCGCCUCCUGGCAGUCAUUCUCCAGAAGGACCUCAUUAGGCUGCCAGGGGAAGGCAUCCUGGCCGUGUUGUCAGACUCGCUCUGCCAGGCAUCACUCAGGCCUUGACUGAGCCCCUGUGGGGGCCCUCGGACGGUUGAAGUCAUCUUUGUCCCUUCGCUUGUCACUCUGGAGAGGACAGUGGAGCCGAACUUCUUCCCUGCUGGGAGGCUCUCGGAGGAGUUUUCUAGGGUGAAGUUAUCUAUGGAAAGUCACACAACUACAGCUUGUUGCCAAUCUAGAGAAAGCCGAGAACAUUCCACGCACGUAGGACCAUCAGAGCCAGAGAGGCUUGGAAUCUGGUCCUGUGCCAGCACAGAGCAGGCCCAAGGAGGCCGCCUGCGGCCGAGCGAGGCCUGCCUCCAGCCCUGCCUCAGCCCCAGCUCCAGGGACAUCUCACAGGGGCAUCUUUUUCCUGAAAUAGCUCCAGACACCCGCCAACCCCGUGGCCUGGUGCUCGGGUGCGGAAGCGUGAGGGUGCAGGAAGGGAAAAGGCCGGGCUGGGCGCGCUCAGAGGCAGCCAUCGCUCCUGGGCUGGUGGGGGCACCCCGGGGCGGUGGGAGGGACGAGGGCUCUUGUGACUCUCGCCAUCGGCACGGCGCCCUUGCGGCCACUGACUCUGGCGGGAUGAGAUCCACCGUGUGGGUUUACCGACCUCCUCCUCAAGGACUGGGCCGCGGUGAUCCUUUGGAGUGUCCCUGGGCCUGGCACGGAUUUGUCGCUCAUGGGUGCUUGGUGACGGAUGGCGUGGAGCUCGGGUCCCGCUGCCCUGCCUCUGGCUCUGUGGACGAGUAUUCUAGGGCUCACAAGCCUCGCGCGGGGCUGGAGCCCCCCGCGACCGGGGGAGCAGGGGACGACAGUCCGUGGGGUCUGUCACGGCUGGGACAAGGACAGCCUCAGAUGGAAGCUUCCGGAGCCGUCUGGUCGAGCCCUGGCACACCGGUGGGGGCCCAGUAACUGUGGGAUGAAGGCAAGUGCUCGGCUGUCAGCCGCGUUUCCGUGUCAGGCGUCCAUCCGCCCCUCAGCGGGCACAUGAGGUCACGGCGGCCGGAAGAACACAGCACACGCUCUCCCUGUUGUCUCCGUGCGGCCAGAGGGAGGCACAGUGCCGGACACGGAGGGCGUCUCUGUAAACCCCGUCUGAACGCGGAGACAAAGGGGAUUUUAUAAACCACUUGCUUUUGCCAAACCAGCACAACUGCCCAAUCCUGGAGUGUGCAUGUGUGUAUACGUGAGGGGUGUGUGCGCGUGUGUUGGACACGUGCGAGUGUGCACCUGUGUCUGUGUGCACACAUACGUGGGUGGGGGGGAAGGGGACAGAGAUCAGCCCUGUGGGCUCCAGGGAUGGAGGCUGAGGAGGGUCCAGAGGGCCUGGCUGAGUCAGAAGCCAGUGGUCGGAGCAGAUGGAAAGGCAUGGAGAGCAUAGGACUGCUUCCGAAGAGGGGGCAGGCGAGUGACAGCUGCAGAGGGCAGGGGUGCGGGGAGGGGGGGGCCGGCCAGUGGGGCCGUGCCAUCGCCGCUGCCCGGAACAGCGUUUCC